AUUGCUUCUUGGCCUUUUGGCUAUGAUGAAGUAGAGUACCUGUUCUUUUCAGUUUAAUAUCUGAUACGUCUUCUAUCCCAGGACAAUAUAUUACGCGCAUUUUUGAGAUAUACUAUUUAGCUUCAUUUAUGCUGCUAGUGUAUCUGAU
Molecule: small nuclear RNA, 148 nt
Filed under: Chinchilla lanigera (long-tailed chinchilla)
Lineage: Eukaryota; Metazoa; Chordata; Mammalia; Rodentia; Chinchillidae
Description: U2 spliceosomal RNA (ENSCLAG00000019572.1)
Rfam family: U2 spliceosomal RNA (bases 1-118)
About the family: U2 is a small nuclear RNA (snRNA) component of the spliceosome (involved in pre-mRNA splicing). Complementary binding between U2 snRNA (in an area lying towards the 5' end but 3' to hairpin I) and the branchpoint sequence (BPS) of the intron results the bulging out of an unpaired adenosine, on the BPS, which initiates a nucleophilic attack at the intronic 5' splice site, thus starting the first of two transesterification reactions that mediate splicing.
Source: RNAcentral